RNAcentral lists this transfer RNA (74 nucleotides) under bacterium. RNAcentral's name for it is "tRNA-Ala". It matches the Rfam family "tRNA". From Rfam's summary of the family: Transfer RNA (tRNA) molecules are approximately 80 nucleotides in length. Their secondary structure includes four short double-helical elements and three loops (D, anti-codon, and T loops). The record is from RNAcentral.
GGGCCCAUAGUAAAACGGUAUUACACGGCAUUCGCAUUGCCGGGGUCCGGGUCCAAUUCCCGGUGGGUCCACCA